Molecule: ribosomal RNA, 467 nt
Filed under: uncultured bacterium
Lineage: Bacteria
Description: partial 16S ribosomal RNA
Rfam family: Bacterial small subunit ribosomal RNA
Source: RNAcentral
GAUGAACGCUGACAGAAUGCUUAACACAUGCAAGUCCACUUGAAUUUGGGUUUUUAACUUAGGUUUGGGUGGCGGACGGGUGAGUAACGCGUAAAGAACUUGCCUCACAGCUAGGGACAACAUUUGGAAACGAAUGCUAAUACCUAAUAUUAUGAUAAUAGGGCAUCCUAUAAUUAUGAAAGCUAUAAGCGCUGUGAGAGAGCUUUGCGUCCCAUUAGCUAGUUGGAGAGGUAACGGCUCACCAAGGCGAUGAUGGGUAGCCGGCCUGAGAGGGUGAUCGGCCACAAGGGAACUGAGACACGGCCCUUACUCCUACGGGAGGAAGCAGUGGGGAAUAUUGGACAAUGGACCGAGAGUCUGAUCCAGCAAUUCUGUGUGCACGAUGAAGUUUUUCGGAAUGUAAAGUGCUUUCAGUUGGGAAGAAACAAAUGACGGUACCAACAGAAGAAGUGACGGCUAAAUACGUG